Molecule: small RNA, 1441 nt
Filed under: Pongo abelii (Sumatran orangutan)
Lineage: Eukaryota; Metazoa; Chordata; Mammalia; Primates; Hominidae
Description: retained intron
Source: RNAcentral
GUGUAAAAAUGACACCAACCCAUAAAGGUCAGCGAUGGGGGUUACUCAGCAUGCCUGUUGAUGAGGAAGUAGAGAGCCUUCACCUCAGGUUCUUAGCUACACCUCCAAAUGGCAACUUUGCAGAUGCUGUAUUCAGGUUCAAUGCUAAUAUUUCAUACAGUGGAGUCCUGCAUGCAGUAACACAAGAUGGUCUCUUCUCAGAAAACAAAGAAAAACUGAUCAAUAAUGCCAUAACAGCAUUAUUGUCCCAAGAAGGGGAUGUCGUUGCUUCAAAUGCGGAACUUGAGAGUCAGUUCCAGGCCGUGAGGAGGCUUGUGGCAUCCAAAGCUGGUUUCCUAGCUUUCACUCAGCUUCCAAAGUUUCGCGAGCGUCUAGGGGUGAAGGUAGUAAAAGCACUCAAAAGGAGCAACAACGGAGUAAUCCAUGCAGCAGUUGAUAUGCUUUGUGCCCUUAUGUGUGUAAGUAGUAGUUUUCUUAAGGAAACUGGUUUUUCUUAAGCUGACUGGUGGUUUUGAUUUCCACAAUCCCAGAUUUUCAUUGUACCAAUAAGUUCUUGUUUCUGUUUCUUAAAUUGUUCUCAUAGUUACUCAAACCUUUGUUUAGCAUAUCCUAAAUACCAGGCAGUGUGCUGGGUGCCAGAAAUUCAAAGAUCUUAAGACAGAAGUUCUUUUCUUCCUUCACUUUGUUGACAGUCUGGUAAGGUAGGCAUAUCUGUACAACGUAAGGUAGUAGGGGCCAUAGGAUCUUGAAAAGCAGCACUUUAUUUUUGUUUGGUGAUGAGGGGAAGAUGAAAGAUUCUCACCCAGUCUUUCUGGAAGAUGUUACAUUUGAUCUGAAUCUUGAAGGACAGGCAGGAAUUUUCUAGCUCUGGAAAGGCCUUCCUGGGGUGGGGGGGAAUAGCAUAUAAAAAGGCAUGUUUGGAAAGCAACAAAUAAUUAAAUAUGAUUGGGUUAUAAGGUAUGGAUGGGGGGUAAUUAGGAGUUGCAGCUAGAGAUGUAUGCAGACAGUAAUAAAAAACCUUCUGUAUCAGGAGGGAGGAGCUAGAUUUGUAUCUUUUUGUAAGGAACACCUGAAGGAUUUUUUAGCAAAAGAGCAGUAAUGUGAUCAGGUUUGAGUUUUUAAAAACCCACACUGGUAGUAUGUGGAGAAUAGAAGUAAAAUUAGAGGCAGGUAGACCAAAUUGUCACGUAAGAAAUGAGUUGCUGAGCUAGGGUAGUCACAGGGCUAAAGAAGAAGCACACCUGAAAGCUGUUGGCACAGUAAAGAUUAACUUAGAGGCAGCUUGUACAGAGGGAGAAACAAUUGUUUAGUAUAGUUUUGAAGUUUCUGAUUAUCUCAAUUUUGUGUGUAGUACCUGGGACUUUUCCUUAUAUAAAGUGUUUUAGGCAAGCUUAGUCGUACAUAAACAUAAGUAAACACUUCUAUAAAACCUUGCAUUCCC